CCUACGGGUGGCAGCAGUGGGGAAUAUUGCACAAUGGGCGCAAGCCUGAUGCAGCCACGCCGCGUGUGUGAAGAAGGCCUUCGGGUUGUAAAGCACUUUCAGCGGGGAGGAAGGCGUUAAGGUUAAUAACCUUGUCGAUUGACGUUACCCGCAGAAGAAGCACCGGCUAACUCCGUGCCAGCAGCCGCGGUAAUACGGAGGGUGCAAGCGUUAAUCGGAAUUACUGGGCGUAAAGCGCACGCAGGCGGUCUGUCAAGUCGGAUGUGAAAUCCCCGGGCUCAACCUGGGAACUGCAUUCGAAACUGGCAGGCUAGAGUCUUGUAGAGGGGGGUAGAAUUCCAGGUGUAGCGGUGAAAUGCGUAGAGAUCUGGAGGAAUACCGGUGGCGAAGGCGGCCCCCUGGACAAAGACUGACGCUCAGGUGCGAAAGCGUGGAGAGCAAACAGGAUUAGAUACCCCAGUAGUC
Molecule: ribosomal RNA, 465 nt
Filed under: uncultured Klebsiella sp.
Lineage: Bacteria; Pseudomonadati; Pseudomonadota; Gammaproteobacteria; Enterobacterales; Enterobacteriaceae
Description: bacterial SSU rRNA
Rfam family: Bacterial small subunit ribosomal RNA
Source: RNAcentral